RNAcentral lists this ribosomal RNA (960 nucleotides) under Micrococcus luteus. RNAcentral's name for it is "bacterial SSU rRNA". It matches the Rfam family "Bacterial small subunit ribosomal RNA", at positions 243 to 1194 of the family's 1533-position model. Lineage: Bacteria; Bacillati; Actinomycetota; Actinomycetes; Micrococcales; Micrococcaceae. The record is from RNAcentral.
AGCUUGUUGGGUGAGGUAAUGGCUCACCCAAGGCGACGACGGGUAGCCGGCCUGAGAGGGUGACCGGCCACACUGGGACUGAGACACGGGCCCAGACUCCUACGGGAGGCAGCAGUGGGGAAUAUUGCACAAUGGGCGCAAGCCUGAUGCAGCGACGCCGCGUGAGGGAUGACGGCCUUCGGGUUGUAAACCUCUUUCAGUAGGGAAGAAGCGAAAGUGACGGUACCUGCAGAAGAAGCACCGGCUAACUACGUGCCAGCAGCCGCGGUAAUACGUAGGGUGCGAGCGUUAUCCGGAAUUAUUGGGCGUAAAGAGCUCGUAGGCGGUUUGUCGCGUCUGUCGUGAAAGUCCGGGGCUUAACCCCGGAUCUGCGGUGGGUACGGGCAGACUAGAGUGCAGUAGGGGAGACUGGAAUUCCUGGUGUAGCGGUGGAAUGCGCAGAUAUCAGGAGGAACACCGAUGGCGAAGGCAGGUCUCUGGGCUGUAACUGACGCUGAGGAGCGAAAGCAUGGGGAGCGAACAGGAUUAGAUACCCUGGUAGUCCAUGCCGUAAACGUUGGGCACUAGGUGUGGGGACCAUUCCACGGUUUCCGUGCCGCAGCUAACGCAUUAAGUGCCCCGCCUGGGGAGUACGGCCGCAAGGCUAAAACUCAAAGGAAUUGACGGGGGCCCGCACAAGCGGCGGAGCAUGCGGAUUAAUUCGAUGCAACGCGAAGAACCUUACCAAGGCUUGACAUGUUCUCGAUCGCCGUAGAGAUACGGUUUCCCCUUUGGGGCGGGUUCACAGGUGGUGCAUGGGUUGUCGUCAGCUCGUGUCGUGGAGAUGUUGGGUUAAGUCCCGCAACCGAGCGCAACCCCUCGUUCCAUUGUUGCCAGCACGUUCGUGGUGGGGGACUCAUGGGAAGACUGCCCGGGGUCAACUUCCGGAGGAAAGGUGAGGAACCGACGUCCAAAUCCAUC